AGUUCGAUCAUGGCUCAGAUUGAACGCUGGCGGGAUGCUUUACACAUGCAAGUCGAACGGCAGCACGGACUUCGGUCUGGUGGCGAGUGGCGAACGGGUGAGUAAUGUAUCGGAACGUGCCUAGUAGCGGGGGGAUAACUACGCGAAAGCGGGAAGGCGCGUAUAUUAUUCUUCGGGGGAAAGCGGGGACCUUCGGGCCUCGCACUAUUAGAGCGGCCGAUAUCGACAGCGAAGCAGGGUAACGGCUCACUGGCGCGACGAUCCGUAGCUGGUUUGAGAGGACGACCAGCCACACUGGGACUGAGACACGGCCCGUGACUUACGGAGGCAGGGAAAUGGAUACGAACCCUGAUCCAGCCAUCCCGCGUGUGCGAUGUGAAGGCCUCGGGUUGUGCGCGACUUAGGAGAAACGGCACGGGAUAAUACUCCGCAAUCGACGGUACCUGCAGAAUAAAGCACCGUUAACAUGCGCCAGCAGCCGCAAUACGUAGGGUGCAAGCGUUAAUCGGAAUUACUGGGCGCGUAAAGCGUGCGGAAGUGUCUUGAAAGAAAGAUGUAAACCCAGAGCUUAACUUUGGAACUGCAUUUUUAACCGAGCUAGAGUGUGUCAGAGGGAGGUGGAAUUCCGCGUGUAGCAGUGAAAUGCGUAGAUAUGCGGAGGAACACCGAUGGCGAAGGCAGCCUCCUGGGAUAACACUGACGCUCAUGCACGAAAGCGUGGGGGAGCAAACAGAUUGAUACCGGCAUUCACGCCCUAAACGAUGUCAACUAGCUUUCGUUGGGCCUUCGGGCUCCUGGUAGCGCAGCUAACGGUAAAGCGACCGCCUGUGAGUGAUGGCCGUAAAGAUUAAACUCAAAGGAAUUGACGGGACCCGCACAAGCGGUGGAUGAUGUGGACAAUCUGAUGCAACGCGAAAACCUUACCUACCCUUGACAUGUUCGGAAUCCCGAAGAGAUUUGGGAGUGCUCGCAAGAGAACUGGAACACAGGUGCUGCAUGGCUGUCGUCAGCUCGUGUCGUGAGAUGUUGGGUUAAGUCCCGCAACGAGCGCAACCCUUUGUCAUUAGUUGCUACGAAAGGGCACUGACGAGACUGCCGGUGUCAAACCGGAGGAAGGUAGAUGACGUCAAGUCCUCGGGCAUCUUUGGUAGGCUUCACACGUCAUACAAUGGUCGGGACAGAGGGUCGCCAACCCGCGAGGGGGAGCCAAUCCCAGAAACCCGAUCGUAGUCCGGAUCGCAGUCUGCAACUCGACUGCGUGUCGGAAUCAUUAGGUAAUCGCGGAUCAGCAUGUCGCGGUGAAUACGUUCCCGGGUCUUGUACAUCGCCCGUCACAUCUGGGAGUGGGUUUUACCAGAAGUAGUUAGCCUAACCGUGGGUGGAGGCGAUUACCACGGUGGAUUCCUAUGACUGGGGUGAAGUCGUAACAAGGUAG
RNAcentral lists this ribosomal RNA (1435 nucleotides) under uncultured Bordetella sp. RNAcentral's name for it is "partial 16S-23S ribosomal RNA intergenic spacer". It matches the Rfam family "Bacterial small subunit ribosomal RNA". The record is from RNAcentral. Lineage: Bacteria; Pseudomonadati; Pseudomonadota; Betaproteobacteria; Burkholderiales; Alcaligenaceae.